RNAcentral lists this ribosomal RNA (253 nucleotides) under uncultured bacterium. RNAcentral describes it as "partial 16S ribosomal RNA". It matches the Rfam family "Bacterial small subunit ribosomal RNA", at positions 524 to 776 of the family's 1533-position model. The record is from RNAcentral.
UACGUAGGGUGCAAGCGUUAAUCGGAAUUACUGGGCGUAAAGCGUGCGCAGGCGGUAAUGUAAGACAGAUGUGAAAUCCCCGGGCUCAACCUGGGAACUGCAUUUGUGACUGCAUUGCUGGAGUGCGGCAGAGGGGGAUGGAAUUCCGCGUGUAGCAGUGAAAUGCGUAGAUAUGCGGAGGAACACCGAUGGCGAAGGCAAUCCCCUGGGCCUGCACUGACGCUCAUGCACGAAAGCUAGGGGAGCAAACGGG